This 210-nucleotide long non-coding RNA is filed under the name Physcomitrium patens. RNAcentral describes it as "long non-coding RNA (PPAT_LNC012959)". The record is from RNAcentral. Lineage: Eukaryota; Viridiplantae; Streptophyta; Bryopsida; Funariales; Funariaceae.
CGCCUAUAAAGUAACUACCUACUCUACUCCGUUCCAAUUAGUUUACAGUCAAGAGGUAAUUUUACCUAUCGAAUUGGAGGUUCCUAGUUUACGUAUUGCCUUAGACGAACGCCUCAGUGACACCGAGUCAUUACACUCUCGGUUGAUGAAAUUGGAGGAAUUGGAUGAAAUACGGGCUGUCGCUCUAUUCCACAUGGAAGCCACUCAAAA